CUUGGGGAGAGAUGCCCACAUUGAUGUACAACAAGUUUCCUGAAGCCAAGGUGAGCCUCUUUUAUAUGUUUGCGAGAGACCAUAUCCAGUAGCGCGAAGGAGAUCUGUUGCCUCUUCUACGAAUCUUCCCCAGCCAGCGGCUCCCGUGUGGUUGUGAUGGCAUAGCAAUCAAAUAUACAAGGUGUGUAUAUGCUUGGCUGGGAGGUUCUAGAAGACAUGUGCGCUAGCCGAUUGUCCGCCGACACAGCGGGAGGUGCCAGUCUCUCAUCCACUGACCAAGCGGCGAGGAGGAGCUCCACCGUGAAGGAGACAGUAGACUGGCAAUGCCUCAUUGCUACAACAGUGGUACCAUUUCGAUGCGUUUAACCUUGGUGUCAGGAUC
Long non-coding RNA from Lolium rigidum, 382 nucleotides. RefSeq lists it as uncharacterized. The transcript is spliced from 3 exons. Lineage: Eukaryota; Viridiplantae; Streptophyta; Magnoliopsida; Poales; Poaceae. The record is from RefSeq and is a predicted model, not a curated record.